Long non-coding RNA from Lycium ferocissimum, 725 nucleotides. RefSeq lists it as uncharacterized. Lineage: Eukaryota; Viridiplantae; Streptophyta; Magnoliopsida; Solanales; Solanaceae. The transcript is spliced from 3 exons. The record is from RefSeq and is a predicted model, not a curated record.
UUGUGCCUAAACAUGAUUCCUAGUUCUCUCCAUUAUUAUUUAUAUCAACACUAAUCUUUCCUUUCUCCAUUCCCGCCUUCCAUUUCAAGGCUUUAACUCGUAACCACCUUUCCUUGACGACUUAAUUACAUGUUUCAUUUAUGCAUUUGUAAUUAAAAGGGGUUAAAACUUGAAAACUAUUCUUCUCAGCAACAACAACAACAAGAGAUAACUUCAAUGGAUAGUUGUAUCAGAUUUUGUGUUGUAUUUCUCUUUAUAUCUUUGUUCUCACCCUUGGGAUCUGUUGCUCAACUUUUGCCUGAAGAAGAAGGUUUCUGCAAAGUACACUAUCAGAAAAUUGCUAAUUUUCCGACGGAAAUUUAAACAAAAUCCUUCGGAAUUUGGCUAGUCUGUAACAUGUCUGACGGAUUUUCCUUCGAAAAUUAGCGAUGUUUACAAUAAUUGUGUUUUUCUUCCUCGUUCUUAUCUAUAAAUAGUUAAACACUCUUUUGUCUUCUUAUAUUACUCUCUUUUCUUUCUUUUGAAUUCUGAAAAUUAGCGAUUUUCUGAUAGUGGUAGCUAUUACAUUUUAUUUCUCUUCUUUUUACGGUUUUUGCGAAUUAUACUAUCAGAAAAUUGUUAAUCUCGACAAAAAUAUUAAACGUAAUAUGUCGGAAUUUGGCUCGUCAGUAACGUUUUUGAUGGAUUUUCCAUUGAAGAUACCUUAUCAACAAGCCAAGAUUUAA